This 339-nucleotide unclassified non-coding RNA is filed under the name soil metagenome. Its description in RNAcentral is "partial contains 5.8S ribosomal RNA, internal transcribed spacer 2, and large subunit ribosomal RNA". The stretch from base 1 to 120 matches the Rfam family "5.8S ribosomal RNA", at positions 35 to 154 of the family's 154-position model. The record is from RNAcentral.
GAUGAAGAACGUAGCGAAAUGCGAUACGUAGUGUGAAUUGCAGAAUUCCGUGAAUCAUCGAAUCUUUGAACGCACAUUGCACCUCUCGGUAUUCCGGGAGGUAUGCCUGUUCGAGCGUCAUUUGUACCCUCAAGCUCUGCUUGGUGUUGGGUGUUUGUUCCGCCUCUGUGUGUGAACUCGCCUCAAAACAAUUGGCAGCCGGCGUACUUGUUUCGGAGCGCAGCACAUUUUGCGAUCCAGAUCAACGUACAGCGGCAUCCAAGAAGCCUUAUUUAACGCUCUUGACCUCGGAUCAGGUAGGGAUACCCGCUGAACUUAAGCAUAUCAAUAAGCGGAGGA